AUGAGCUUCAGCCAGAAUUCAGCCUCUGGUAAACAUGAACACAUAAAUCUAACACAGGAUUUUCAGAGUAGUAUAUGUAAGGAAAGCUUAAUGGAUCUCUCCCUCCUUAAUAAAUGGGACAGCAUCCCUAACACUGAGGAAUCCUAUAAAUGUGAUGUAUGUGAGAAAGUUUUCCAUCAGAGCUCAGCCCUUACUAGACAUCAGAGAAUCCAUACUAGAGAGAAGCCCUACAAAUGUAAAGAAUGUGAAAAGCGUUUCAGUCAGAGCUCGAGUCUUAGUCGACAUAAAAGAAUACACACUAGAGAAAAACCUUACAAAUGUGAAGCAUCUGAUAAAUCCUGUAGUCCAAGCUCAGGCAUAAUUCAACACAAGAAAAUUCACACCAGAGCCAAAGCUUACACAUGUAGCAGUUGUGAAAGAAUCUUCAGUCAUAGUGUCCACCUUACUCAACAUCAGAAAAUUCACAAAGAGAUGCCCUGUAAGUGUACUAUAUCUGGCAGUGACUUCUGCCAUCCUUCAUAUCUGCUUGAACAUCAGAGGGUCCACCAUGAAGAGAAAUCCUAUGAAUAUGAUGAAUAUGGGUUGGCCUAUAUUAAACAAGGAAUUCAUUUCAGAGAAAAGCCCUAUACAUGUAAUGAAUGUAGAAAAGACUUCAGAUUGAAUUCACAUCUUAUUCAGCAUCAAAAAAUUCACACAGGAAUGAAACUGCAUGAGUGUAAUGAAUAUGGAAAAGCUUUCAGUCAAACCUCAUGCCUUAUUCACCAUCAAAUAAUGUAUAGGAAAGAGAAAUCAUAUAAAUGUAACGAGUAUGAGGGCAGUUUCAGUCAUAGCUCAGACCUUAUCCUGCAACAAGAUGUCCUCACCAGACAGAAAGUCUUUGAUUGUGAUGUACGGAAAAAGAACUCCAGUCAGAGAGCACACCUGGUUCAAUAUCGGAGCAUUCAUACCAAAGAGAACUCAUGA
RNAcentral lists this long non-coding RNA (963 nucleotides) under Homo sapiens (human). RNAcentral describes it as "non-protein coding lnc-COL28A1-6:3". Lineage: Eukaryota; Metazoa; Chordata; Mammalia; Primates; Hominidae. The record is from RNAcentral.